AGAACGAACGCUGAUGGCGUGCUUCAUACAUGCAAGUCGAGCGCCCCGCAAGGGGAGCGGCGAACGGGUGAGUAACGCGUGAACAAUCUGCCUUAAAGUGGGGGAUAACCAUUCCAACGGAUGGCUAAUACCGCAUAGGAUUUGGGACCGGCAUCGGUCCUCUAUGAAAGCAUUUAUGCGCUUUAAGAUGAGUUCGCGUCCCAUUAGCUAGUUGGCGGGUAACGCCCACCAAGGCAACGAUGGGUAGCCGGCCUGAGAGGGUGUCCGGCACGAUUGGGACUGAGAUACGGCCCAGACUCCUACGGGAGCAGCAGGUAGGGUAAUUUGCGCAAGUCGGGGGAAACCCUGACGCAGCAACGCAUGUGUGGAGUGACGCUAGUUUCGGUGUACGUAAACCGUACUUGGUCGGACGAA
Molecule: ribosomal RNA, 414 nt
Filed under: uncultured soil bacterium
Lineage: Bacteria
Description: bacterial SSU rRNA
Rfam family: Bacterial small subunit ribosomal RNA
Source: RNAcentral